Molecule: ribosomal RNA, 398 nt
Filed under: uncultured bacterium
Lineage: Bacteria
Description: partial 16S ribosomal RNA
Rfam family: Bacterial small subunit ribosomal RNA
Source: RNAcentral
AUACGUAGGGUGCGAGCGUUGUCCGGAAUUACUGGGCGUAAAGAGCUCGUAGGUGGUUUGUCGCGUCGUCUGUGAAAUUCCGGGGCUUAACUCCGGGCGUGCAGGCGAUACGGGCAUAACUUGAGUACUGUAGGGGAGACUGGAAUUCCUGGUGUAGCGGUGAAAUGCGCAGAUAUCAGGAGGAACACCGGGGGCGAAGGGGGGUCUCUGGGCAGUAACUGACGCUGAGGAGCGAAAGCAUGGGUAGCGAACAGGAUUAGAUACCCUGGUAGUCCAUGCCGUAAACGGUGGGCGCUAGGUGUAGGGGUCUUCCACGACUUCUGUGCCGUAGCUAACGCAUUAAGCGCCCCGCCUGGGGAGUACGGCCGCAAGGCUAAAACUCAAAUGAAUUGACGGGG